Molecule: ribosomal RNA, 702 nt
Filed under: uncultured Paracoccus sp.
Lineage: Bacteria; Pseudomonadati; Pseudomonadota; Alphaproteobacteria; Rhodobacterales; Paracoccaceae
Description: bacterial SSU rRNA
Rfam family: Bacterial small subunit ribosomal RNA
Source: RNAcentral
AACGAACGCUGGCGGCAGGCCUAACACAUGCAAGUCGAGCGAGGACUUCGGUUCUAGCGGCGGACGGGUGAGUAACGCGUGGGAAUGUGCCCUUCUCUACGGAAUAGCCCUGGGAAACUGGGAGUAAUACCGUAUACGCCCUAUUGGGGAAAGAUUUAUCGGAGAAGGAUCAGCCCGCGUUGGAUUAGGUAGUUGGUGGGGUAAUGGCCUACCAAGCCGACGAUCCAUAGCUGGUUUGAGAGGAUGAUCAGCCACACUGGGACUGAGACACGGCCCAGACUCCUACGGGAGGCAGCAGUGGGGAAUCUUAGACAAUGGGGGCAACCCUGAUCUAGCCAUGCCGCGUGAGUGAUGAAGGCCUUAGGGUUGUAAAGCUCUUUCAGCUGGGAAGAUAAUGACGGUACCAGCAGAAGAAGCCCCGGCUAACUCCGUGCCAGCAGCCGCGGUAAUACGGAGGGGGCUAGCGUUGUUCGGAAUUACUGGGCGUAAAGCGCACGUAGGCGGACCGGAAAGUCAGAGGUGAAAUCCCAGGGCUCAACCUUGGAACUGCCUUUGAAACUAUCGGUCUGGAGUUCGAGAGAGGUGAGUGGAAUUCCGAGUGUAGAGGUGAAAUUCGUAGAUAUUCGGAGGAACACCAGUGGCGAAGGCGGCUCACUGGCUCGAUACUGACGCUGAGGUGCGAAAGCGUGGGGAGCAAACAGG